Molecule: long non-coding RNA, 2190 nt
Organism: Dasypus novemcinctus (nine-banded armadillo)
Lineage: Eukaryota; Metazoa; Chordata; Mammalia; Cingulata; Dasypodidae
Source: Ensembl
GGAGGCUGGGUGUGCGCCGGGCAAGGCUGUCUGCGUCCUAAUCCCCAGAACCUGGGAAUGGGGCAAAAGGGGCUCUGUAGACUUGAUUAAGUUAGGGGUGUUGAGGUGUGAAAUGGUCCUGGAGUAUCCGGCUGGACCCGAGGUGAUCACAAGCAUCCUCGCAGGCCAUCAGGAGGCGGAACGGGGAAGGACGAGAGAGACCGCAGUGUGCGAAGGGCCCCACCCCACACUGCUGGCUUUGACGACGGAGGAAGGCACCAGGAGCCAGGGGAGGUAGAAGCUGGAAAAGGCAGAAAAACAUUCUUUCCCAGACCUCCAGAGAGGAAUGCACUCCUGCUGAACUUUGAUUUUAGCCUGUUUGGGACUUCUGACCUCCAGAAGUGUUAAAAUAAUAAAUUUGUGUUAUUUUAAGCCACGACAUUUGUGAUAAUUUUUUAUAGCAGCCAUGGGAGACUAAUACAGUUAUAAACUCACUUGUGAUGCUUUGGUGUCAUUUUCCGUGCGGGCACGCCCUGGGAACCCUCGUGGACUCACGCACAUCUCGUACACAGCUCUGACAGAGGACCUCCCUCCCCAAGUCCAUAGCAGGACUAUCUGCCUCGAGACAUCCUCGACAACCACAGGAAGUGACUCAGUGCCGGACUUGUUAUGGCUACUGUCCCCUAUCCCAACCGCGGUGACUCUAGCCCUGUAGAACACUCUUCAACCGAGGCACCAUCGCGAGGGCACACACCAAGGCUGCGUAACUGUGACUCCAUCGCUGGGGUGCUUCAUAGCUGCUCCACUGAGCCCAAAGAGGAGCACACUGACCCCCAGAAUGGGGAGGGACGCCCCCGGAGCCCCAGGACUCCUCUCACCCACCAGCUUCCCGCUCUCCCCAGGACCAGUCUGGGGAUGAAUGACAGAUGCUGUGUAGCAACUGAAGGCUCACUCUAACAAGUCAGUGGCUGCAGAGAGAGUGCAAACCCAAGGUCUGGAGCUCUACCCAGUGGUAGAUGCAUUUACUUUUUGCCAGUGCGAUGGCUGAUACAGUAGUUGAAGUCGACAUUUUUAAUAUCACGACAUUCAAAGUUCCAUGAAGAUGGUGUCUGUGUUCCUCAUCCAGCAGCUGAGUGAAUGCUUCAAAACUGAUGACCCCACACCACCCCAAAUCUAAAUCAGGAACUGGUACCAUAAUAAGUGCUCAUGAAACAGCUGAUGAAUGAAUGAACGACCUCACAGAUGCUAUGAUGGUAACUCAGAUUUUUAUGUCUUACAAUGGACACAUACAUCACCUUAUAUGAUCCUUAAAACGAACUGGCAUUACUCUCACAGCCAAACUCAGCGUGUAGAUGUGAUGCAUUCCCCCCAGCAUGGGACACGACACCCGGGGAUGAGCCUCCCUGGCACCGAGGGAUCACUACCACAUACCAGCUGAAGAAGCAACUAGAAAAUGACCUUGAAUUAAAGAUUCAAUGCGGAACAGCAGAAUAUACCUGUCUACAUAUAAUAACAUGACUUCGGGAAGCGGUUUGACCUAAUGUAAGGGGGAAAUGGAAAGGAGAAAUGAGAUUAUAAGGCUGUGAGUCUCUAAAAAAGAGUCUGGAGGUUGUCACAAGGAAUACCCCUAUGUACAACUGAACAGAGUCUAAGAGACAGAUAAGGUAGAUACAACCCCAGGUAUUGGUUCUUUUGAGUCUGCGUGAUGGAAUUGGACUCAGAGGGGAUCUCUUUUCACAAGACUUGCAUGCUACUUUAUUGGAAAUGUAGUUGGUGCUGGGUUUGAGAUAUAUGUAGGGGAUUUGAAUCUCUGGCCUGAUAAUAUGACACCCAGGCCCAGAGCCUCAACAGACUUCAGCUCCUACACUUUGAUUUAUUGGACUUACUCCACUCAGCUAACAUGGAGUUGAAGAAGGUCAACCACCACAACAUGGAGCCUAGAGUGUCUACAACUAGAAGUGGGAGGAGUGCAUCCAGUACCCAUGUGGAAUCUAAGCCCUCACUUGACAUAGGUGUGCAAUGGACACAACCAAUCCAAUGUCCACAGAGAAAAUGUGGAAUGGGUGUGGGAACGGUAGCCAUGGGGGCUGCUGGGUGUGGGGAACGGGAGGAAGAGAUGAGAUGUGGAGGCAUUUUCGGGACGUGAAGUUGUCCUGGAUAGUGCUUCAUGGACAAUUACAGGACACUGUAGAUCCCCCCAGGGCCCACUGG